GACCAGUUAAACGGUCAUUUUUCCCGCCACCUACCUCUCCAAAUUUUAAAUUUUCAAAUUAAUAGGUGUCAUUUUUUCAAAAAUAACUGUCUUAAUAUCAUAAAUAUAAUUAUUUAAUUAAACCAAUUCAAUCUAUCCGAGUAAUUUAAUUAACUCCCACUAACUCCCAACCACAACUGUCUAAAUCACACAAUUUACAAAUCUCUCUGAUCACAUCUCUCAAACUCAAGCACCCUCCCUCUGGAAACUGCCGCCGCCGCCGCCUCCUCCGGCCAACGACGCCUCUCGCCCCCUCUUAAACUUUCUCCUUCCCUCUCUUACUCUCUUCUCGCGUUUUCCACCUAACACGCUCACCGGCGUUUUCCAUUUCACGCUCACCGGCGUUUCUUCAACUGUGGCCCAGAAAUCGCUGGACUCCAUUCUCCCGCGGCUCAAGGUACGAUGGAAAAUGACCGGUGCUAGAGUGAAAUCCUGAAGUCACGAUCAGGAACUGUGAUCUCACGGCGAACCAGAUCUCACGGCGGCGAACCAGAUCUAACGGCGGACCAGAUCUGGAGCAACUCGCGGCGGAUCUCACGGCGGCUCCUUCGGACGUGAACUGCCAUUGGCGGACCAGAUCUCCCCCCGGUACUCUCUCUCGUCGCCGCUGCACAGCCACAGCCGCCGCUGCACAUGCAGCGACGGUGGCCGUCGCCGCCCCCUCCUACACCAACGUGCUCCUGCUCGGCCUCAAUCCUAAAUCCGUUGAUGGUCGCUCUUGUCCUCUCAAUGAUGAAGCCAUCUCAAACAUCUUUUGGCGCUCUUCAGGUGGCAUCUUAUUCAUCAUAUCAGUUGCCAUCUUGAGCAUGUCUGGUGUCACAUUUGGUGGAACUGACCCAGGGAAAAUAUAUAAAUUAAGAAAUAUAUUUUAGAAAUGAUGAUACUACUACUACAAAUGUUGUGCAUAGGGAAGUUUUUCAAAAUGUAUGACAAUAUGUGUGCUAUUGUUUUGCAUUUAAUUAUAAUUAAAUUUAAUUUAUAUGAA
Salvia miltiorrhiza (redroot sage) is the source of this 1024-nucleotide long non-coding RNA. RefSeq lists it as uncharacterized. NCBI's taxonomy places the organism in Eukaryota, Viridiplantae, Streptophyta, Magnoliopsida, Lamiales, Lamiaceae. The record is from RefSeq and is a predicted model, not a curated record. The transcript is spliced from 2 exons.